AUUGCUUCUUGGCCUUUUGGCUAAGAUCAAGUGUAGAUUCCACAUAUAAGUGAGAUCAUACAUAUUUGUCUUUCUCUGUCUAACGUUUCACUUAGCAUAAUUACCUUGAGGUCUAUCCAUGUUGUUGCAAAUGGUAAGAUUUCUU
This 145-nucleotide small nuclear RNA is filed under the name Suricata suricatta (meerkat). Its description in RNAcentral is "U2 spliceosomal RNA (ENSSSUG00005008105.1)". It matches the Rfam family "U2 spliceosomal RNA". From Rfam's summary of the family: U2 is a small nuclear RNA (snRNA) component of the spliceosome (involved in pre-mRNA splicing). Lineage: Eukaryota; Metazoa; Chordata; Mammalia; Carnivora; Herpestidae. The record is from Rfam by way of RNAcentral.